This 470-nucleotide ribosomal RNA is filed under the name uncultured delta proteobacterium. RNAcentral's name for it is "bacterial SSU rRNA". It matches the Rfam family "Bacterial small subunit ribosomal RNA", at positions 75 to 523 of the family's 1533-position model. Lineage: Bacteria; Deltaproteobacteria. The record is from RNAcentral.
GGGCUUCGGCCCCGGUAAAGUGGCGCACGGGUGAGUAACACGUGGGGUAAUCUUCCCUCGAGCGGGGGAUAACAUUCCGAAAGGAGUGCUAAUACCGCAUAAGACCACGCCUUCGAAAGAAGAAGCGGUCAAAGCUGGCCUCUAUUCAUAAGCUAGCACUUGAGGAUGAGCCCGCGGCCCAUCAGGUAGUUGGUAGGGUAAUGGCCUACCAAGCCGAAGACGGGUAGCUGGUCUGAGAGGAUGAUCAGCCACACUGGAACUGAGACACGGUCCAGACUCCUACGGGAGGCAGCAGUGGGGAAUCUUGCGCAAUGGACGAAAGUCUGACGCAGCGACGCCGCGUGGGUGAUGAAGGCCUUCGGGUUGUAAAGCCCUGUGGGGAGAGACGAAUAAGUAGAAGUUAACACCUUCUAUGAUGACGGUAUCUCCUUAGCAAGCACCGGCUAACUCUGUGCCAGCAGCCGCGGUAA